UUUAAAAUGGCUAGGGCAACGAGACUAGUUCCACGCUUUUCCACCACCACGGUAAUCAUGAUCAUCCUAUACUUGGGUUUGGAGAAAGCUAUUGGUCUGAUUGAUAAAACGGAUAUUGCUAGAUAUUUUAAGAGAGGUGCUUGGGUGCCGCUGAAUUGUCGGCUUACUCGGAUAUUGAAACCAUGUACUGAAAACUUUAUUGGAGCAUGUGUUCAUGGAGUUGAUGAUGGUUGUUGCGAGAGCAUUUGCAAACACUCCGAAAAUGAUAAAUGAGGAUUUUGCAAACCUCUUCCUUACAAACAACAAGGACCAUAUAAUUUCUGCCAUUGUUAUUGUUAGAUUUAAAUUUUGUAUCAAUGAAUAGAUAUUGCUACAAGUACUGCAAUUAUCUAUUUACAAUGUUUUAUUUAUAUUAUAGAAUAACAUAUUUUAAAGUUGCAUUGUCAACAUUUUAAUAUUUCAUAGAUGAUUUCGUGCUUAAAAAUAA
Lathyrus oleraceus (garden pea) is the source of this 487-nucleotide long non-coding RNA. RefSeq lists it as uncharacterized. The record is from RefSeq and is a predicted model, not a curated record. The transcript has 2 exons. NCBI's taxonomy places the organism in Eukaryota, Viridiplantae, Streptophyta, Magnoliopsida, Fabales, Fabaceae.